Molecule: non-coding RNA, 29 nt
Filed under: Rattus norvegicus (Norway rat)
Lineage: Eukaryota; Metazoa; Chordata; Mammalia; Rodentia; Muridae
Source: RNAcentral
UGAGAAAGGACAUGUGCCGAGUACAGAAA